Molecule: ribosomal RNA, 1007 nt
Filed under: Trebouxia flava
Lineage: Eukaryota; Viridiplantae; Chlorophyta; Trebouxiophyceae; Trebouxiales; Trebouxiaceae
Description: partial large subunit ribosomal RNA
Rfam family: Bacterial large subunit ribosomal RNA
Source: RNAcentral
GUAGCAACUAAGAAUACUAGGCAUUGCUUUCCGUUAACCAGUGAGACAGUGGGGGAUAAGCUCCAUUGUCGAGAGGGAAACAGCCCAGAUCACCAGCUAAGGCCCCAAAAUGACCGCUAAGUGGUAAAGGAGGUGAGAAUGCUGAAACAACCAGGAGGUUUGCUUAGAAGCAGCCACCCUUUAAAGAGUGCGUAAUAGCUCACUGGUGGAGCGUUCUUGCGCCGAAAAUGAACGGGACUAAGCGGUCUGCCGAAGCUGUGGGUAACAUCAAAAAACAAAGAAAAGACCUAACAUUUAACAUCUUCGAAAAAGAUUUGUCAACACCGCUUCGCGGUGUAGGCACAAGAAGCGAUGUCAAAUCAGACAUCAGUGACUUACACCCCUACGGGGUGUUUGUUAGCCCUUUUAGGGUUUGCUUCGCACAAAGAAGAUGUUAGAAUAACAAACUUUCAGUUUGUUAGAUGUCAGACAUCUUUCAAAAUUGUAUAUGUUGAAAAGUUCAAUUUGAUGUUACGGUAGGGGAGCGUUCCGCUCUAGGGUGAAGCUCCAACGUAAGUUGGUGUGGACAAAGCGGAAGUGAGAAUGUCGGCUUGAGUAACGAAAACAUUGGUGAGAAUCCAAUGCCCCGAAAACCUAAGGCUUCCUCCACUAGGCUCGUCCAUGGGGGGUUAGUCGGGACCUAAGGCCAGGCCGAAAGGCGUAGUCGAUGGAAAACAGGUUAAUAUUCCUGUACUUCUUUUUAAGUGGUACCGAGGGACGAAGGAGGGAACGGUUGGUCAAUAUUGGAUGUUGACGGAAAUGUUCAAGGUGAUGAGAGAUAGAAUAAAAACUAUUCUUGAGCUGAGACAUGAUACGAUUUUAUUCCCUGUAAGAGAGCUUGCUCAAAUUCAAAGAAAAAUUCAAUUAGUUGUCAAACUUCCUAGAAAAGCUCGAACUUCCAAUACUUAAAAAUAACCCGUACCCGAAACCGACACAGGUAGGUAGGUAGAGUAUACCAAGGGGCGCGA